Molecule: long non-coding RNA, 304 nt
Organism: Ananas comosus (pineapple)
Lineage: Eukaryota; Viridiplantae; Streptophyta; Magnoliopsida; Poales; Bromeliaceae
Exons: 2
Source: RefSeq, a predicted model, not a curated record
CGGCGUGCGCCGCGGGAGGCCGAUUGCGAGUGACGAUGAGCAAUCGGAACGCGAUAAAAGGUACACACGAGAGCGGACCGGCAGAUGAUCGCGGCAAGGGCUUAGCGCCCUAGUGCUUAUUGGUAGAUGCUUUCCUAUUGCAUUAGUUGUUACCCUAUAUACUUGAGAGUAGAUGAUGUAUAGGUGUGAGGCUAUUUUGGAAAUGUAAACUUAAGUUUAUGCUUUGGAUGAAUGUAAAGCUAAGUUGAAAUUAAAUGUAUUAGAGUUGAAUGGAUGUAAUAGCUUAGUAUCUCUCUUUUAUUCA